This is a long non-coding RNA of Passer montanus (Eurasian tree sparrow), 223 nucleotides long. RefSeq lists it as uncharacterized. The record is from RefSeq and is a predicted model, not a curated record. The transcript is spliced from 3 exons. Lineage: Eukaryota; Metazoa; Chordata; Aves; Passeriformes; Passeridae.
CCGGCGCUGCCCCCGCAGCAGAGGAUGCAGAGUACAUGAUCAUGCGCUGCCUCUCGCCCUCCCCGGGCACCCCGCAGGGCCGGAGCAGCCCGGGCUGCAGGAGCGCGGAUGCAGCGGGGGGCAGAGGCUGCGAGAGCCGCCCGGGCAGCGCCCCGAGCCCGCACGGAGCGAACAAGGAGCCGGGCGUCCCCCCGGCCCCCCCAGGAGCCGACGACUCCUACGA